This 72-nucleotide transfer RNA is filed under the name Ictidomys tridecemlineatus (thirteen-lined ground squirrel). RNAcentral's name for it is "Spermophilus tridecemlineatus (thirteen-lined ground squirrel) tRNA". It matches the Rfam family "tRNA". From Rfam's summary of the family: Transfer RNA (tRNA) molecules are approximately 80 nucleotides in length. Their secondary structure includes four short double-helical elements and three loops (D, anti-codon, and T loops). Lineage: Eukaryota; Metazoa; Chordata; Mammalia; Rodentia; Sciuridae. The record is from Rfam by way of RNAcentral.
UGGGUAGUGGCUCAAUGGGAGAGUGCUAGCCUAGCACAUUUGAGGCACUGGGUUCAAUUCUCAGCAACACAA